UUUUUGCUCCACAUAUGCAUGCUUUCUACGAUUCGGAGAUCAGUGCAGCCCAAAGAUCACAUUGGAUUCUCCUCACUACACUCCAUCUUCUAACCUAGUCUGCAUCACGGCUAGGUGCAUCCGUUGCCAAGUUCAUCCAAUAUAUGCCAACCGCAUUGCAAGGACGACCAUAUGCACACACACACACCACAGUCCACAGGAGACAGAUAGCUAGCUAGCUUACUCUUUAGUCAUACAUACACUUAUAAAUAGCCACCGGCUCUGUGCUCAUCAGCAAGGCAGAUUAAACAAGUGAAGUGGUCCACAUCAAAAAUGAAGUAAUCAGGUCUAGGGAGUCAAAAUUUGGUUGGUUGUCCACUGGAGUUCUCCUCAAUCCACUUCAGUAGAUAGCUAUGGCUAGGCCUCGUUGCAUUGCACUGUUACAUAACUGUGAUCAUGGGGCCAAAAGCUAGCUAUGUAUAGUGAAGUGCUUGGGGGAACUCCAGUUAACACUCAGCAUUCUCAAGUUAGGUAUGUAAGUGUUUGUACUUUAUGAAUUUGUAAGUGACAGAGAAUGAUUAGGUUUGGAGUCCCUAGGAGCUCCUUUCAAGCACUUUACGACACACUGUAUUGAGAGUUGUCGUGAAGUGUUUGGGGGAACUCUUAGUG
RNAcentral lists this precursor RNA (648 nucleotides) under Oryza sativa Indica Group (long-grained rice). Its description in RNAcentral is "putative precursor microRNA R395ab". The stretch from base 567 to 648 matches the Rfam family "mir-395 microRNA precursor family". The record is from RNAcentral. Lineage: Eukaryota; Viridiplantae; Streptophyta; Magnoliopsida; Poales; Poaceae.